Molecule: ribosomal RNA, 303 nt
Filed under: uncultured bacterium
Lineage: Bacteria
Description: partial 16S ribosomal RNA
Rfam family: Bacterial small subunit ribosomal RNA
Source: RNAcentral
AGCAGUCGCCGCGGGAAUACGUAGGGGGCAAGCGUUAUCCGGAAUUACUGGGUGUAAAGAGAGCGUAGACGGUUAAACAAGUCUGAAGUGAAAUGCCGGGGCUCAACCCCGGAGCUGCUUUGGGAACUGUAGAACUGGAGUGUCGGAGGGGUAAGCGGAAUUCCCAGUGUAGCGGUGAAAUGCGUAGAUAUUGGGAGGAACACCGGCGGCGAAGGCGGCUUACUGGACGACAACUGACGUUGAGGCUCGAAGGCGUGGGUAGCAAACUGGAUUAGAUACCCCGGUAGUCCCUGUCUCUUAUAC